UACGAGGGGGGCAAGCGUUGUUCGGAAUUAUUGGGCGUAAAGGGCGCGUAGGCGGUGCGGUAAGUCACCUGUGAAAACUCUGGGCUCAACUCAGAGCCUGCAGGCGAAACUGCCGUGCUUGAGUGUGGGAGAGGUGCGUGGAAUUCCCGGUGUAGCGGUGAAAUGCGUAGAUAUCUGGAGGAACACCGGUGGCGAAGGCGGCGACCUGGUCCGUGACUGACGCUGAGGCGCGAAAGCGUGGGGAGCAAACAGG
RNAcentral lists this ribosomal RNA (253 nucleotides) under uncultured bacterium. Its description in RNAcentral is "partial 16S ribosomal RNA". It matches the Rfam family "Bacterial small subunit ribosomal RNA", at positions 524 to 776 of the family's 1533-position model. The record is from RNAcentral.